AUCUACACACCCCAACCUAAGACCUUCAUCUUCUUCAACCUAACAUACCUUAGGACCCCUCAUCUCCUCCACACAAAAACAGCCGUCACUCUCAACCAGACCACCGGUCCACCACCAUAACUCCGGCAACCACACACGCACACAGCAACCCCCUCCAGCCGCCCACACCCCUCCAUCUUCAACCCAAAAAUGACGGAACCUUAAGAGAAAUUAGUGGCCGUCACUUCUCAAACUCGCUGGCACCCCCACACAAGAAUGUCAUCACCCCUCCACCGAAAUCGCCGGAACUCUAACACCCAUCGCUGUCCCCUUCUUCCCUUCACUACAACCUGCCGGAAAUACCCACACACGCAUUCACUCGAGAACAAUACCAAG
RNAcentral lists this long non-coding RNA (375 nucleotides) under Nicotiana tabacum (common tobacco). Its description in RNAcentral is "long non-coding RNA (NTAB_LNC012157)". The record is from RNAcentral. Lineage: Eukaryota; Viridiplantae; Streptophyta; Magnoliopsida; Solanales; Solanaceae.